This 216-nucleotide ribosomal RNA is filed under the name Triticum aestivum (bread wheat). Its description in RNAcentral is "partial small subunit ribosomal RNA". Lineage: Eukaryota; Viridiplantae; Streptophyta; Magnoliopsida; Poales; Poaceae. The record is from RNAcentral.
CUUUAUCUUUAUAUAGAUAGAUUGUCCCAAGGGCGCCAUAUUCUAGGAGCCCAAGUUAUGCUAUUGAAAAUUCGUUCCUCUAGCAGUUCCGGUUUGAGCAUUCCGUUCCCUUUUUCAAACUCCACUUCUUUUCAUAUAGCAUCCCUGAUCAAAGAGAGAACAAUAUCCAUUUCAAAACAUUUCUAACAGAUUCCUUAGUUCGGACCGACGAAGUAA